This is a long non-coding RNA of Colossoma macropomum (tambaqui), 220 nucleotides long. RefSeq lists it as uncharacterized. Lineage: Eukaryota; Metazoa; Chordata; Actinopteri; Characiformes; Serrasalmidae. The record is from RefSeq and is a predicted model, not a curated record. The transcript is spliced from 3 exons.
UCAGUUCUGUUCUCUCUUCUCUCUCUCCUCUCCUGGUCAGUACUGAUGGUGUGUGUGUGUCUGUAGGUCAGUCAUGCAGUCCUGCAGUUCUGCUCUCUGUAUCCUGAUCUUACUGGUCUCUACAUUCACUACUGUGUCUGUAUCAGCUGGUCCUUCAAUGAAGGUGAAAUGAAGCGGGAAGGCCUUGCAUAUUUCAUCAAGACAAUAAACCACAUACUGC